Mobula hypostoma (lesser devil ray) is the source of this 356-nucleotide long non-coding RNA. RefSeq lists it as uncharacterized. NCBI's taxonomy places the organism in Eukaryota, Metazoa, Chordata, Chondrichthyes, Myliobatiformes, Myliobatidae. The transcript is spliced from 3 exons. The record is from RefSeq and is a predicted model, not a curated record.
GGCCUCGGUCACAGUGAGGACUAGGCCCAGAGCCACGGUGUCGCCUGCUUACAGCUACCCAGGAGAGAGGCAUCAGAGUUGGUACACUUCUCAGGAGGUGGUGUGGCACGGUGUCUGUGCUGCCCCCAAUGUUCGUUCAGCAGAAGCUCUAUGAAGAUCAAUCAUUGCCACCACAAGCAUCAUUCAGACUGAUCAAGGAAAGCAUGCUAAAGAUCUUUCAGGAUCAAAUUGGACCCAUAUAUCUCGAUGGCUGGGGUCCUGUCGGAGUCCAUACAGCUGCACUCAAAGUGUAAUUCUCUACAGAGCUGGCCAACAGGCCAUUUCUCGAUAUUUCCAGGAGCGGCCUGGAAGACAGG